CCAGCUUUAUUUGAGGCAUCUAAUGUGAGUUACAAGUGUAUAGUAAUCAGAAACAUUCCUUUGCAAUUGUGAGGGGUCAAUUAUUUGAUACAAAAUAUAAGUUACUGUGAUCUCAUAAAUCAUGUUUUCAGGUAUUUUCAAGAUCAAAUAUGGUUUACUGUUUACAUCAUUUGUCCUUUAGAUCCAGGGUGAGUUUCACAGAAUCACAACGGUGCACCUGGAAUCAAAGUUCAUGUCCAAGCUGGAUGAAUACUCUCCCAGGCUUCUGAACCUCUUCCACUCAAAGGGUGGGACCGCGGGAUUGAGGUUGCAGACUAUCCUACGGAAGGCUCCAAUCAAUCCUACCAUCAACAUAACCAGAGACAUUGUCAUCCGGUGUCUGAUGUUGUACCUUGGGGAAUCUGCUGAUCAGCUCUUUAAAGAGUAUGAUGAUGCAGAUGAAGACAGUGUGGCACAGGACCUUGCUGUACAAGAGAUGAAAAUCUACAGCAUCCAGACUAAUCUGUCAGAGGGUACAGAGGACAUCGGAAUCGUGAUAGACGGAACAAAGGUCCUGACUGCUCUGGGUAACUUUCCGAGGGCUUGUGCCAUGCUCAUUGGUUUGACAUAUGCAGUGAAUCUUGCCUAUCCCAAGGAGCUCAGGUACACUUUUGAAGCCUUUCAGAAACUCUUCCUUGAACUGGAUUGUUCAAAGCUUUCCCCAAAAGUGAACACCCUCAAGAACAAGCUUCUGGCUUAAGAGCCUAAAUACACUGGAGUGCUCAGUAAUUCUGUGCUGUAGUUAAGUGUUCAAUUCUUGUUCAGAAAAAAACAUGUUAUUCAUACUCAUUUGAAGGGUGUGAUGUUAUAUUUUGGACUUACAACUGCCACAAGUAACUUGUUUUUGUAGCUUGGUAUUCCAGAAGUAACGAGUAAAUGAUGAUGCUGCAUUAUAACCAGGACAGUGAGAGUUGUGUUUUGAAAACACAGAGCUUCUUGAUGGACUAUGAACACAUGGCCAUCAGCUUAGGACAUAUGGAUGCCAGUGACACAGUCCACUUUCACAGACGCAAAACCAGACACUCCUCUUGUUUUUCAUGAUUCUUCUGGUUGUUCUUGCAACACCACCUCACAGCUCCAUGAUGGAGAUGGACAAUAUUCUGCUGGGUCUUUACCUGGGAUUUGUGCCACUGUUAGUUGUGAGCUCAAGCUGUUCUGAUCUGACACUGAGGAAGCUACCAGUGCAAUUUACCUGCCUCAAAUAGCAAGAGCCUUUGUUUUUUCUCCAGAAAUAUUGUAUCACUCUGCUUGCAGGCCUCAAAGCUCCUGCCAAUUUGGAAAUAUACAUCUGUUUUUAUCUAAUGUAGUUGUUGAUGUUUCACAGAUUGUGGGUGUUCUGUAGGAAUUACUAAGUCACUGUCACAUGGUGUACUUCGAGGCUUUGUCUGAGUUUCAGUGCUGCAGUUAAUUACUCUUCAGGUGUGUUCAGAAAAAUGUGUCAUACUCAUUUGAGGGACUUGCUACUGUGAUUCUGUUGUGUACACGAGGGAUACACAUGUUGUAUGUUUUGAUAGAGGAAUUUGAAUUUGCACAAAUGAAUGAUUUGAGUGCCACUUUAGUUGGAGAUGAACUACCAAAUGAAUUACUUGACACACUGAUUUCAGAAUUCAAAAAAACCUUUAAAAUUUUGAUAUGAAAACUGAGUUAAAACAAAUCAAAACAUCCUUGUGAUGACUUAAGUCUGGGAUAAAGGCCAAAAUGUAAACACCAAACCUUGAAUCACACCCAAGACUCAUCUGGCCCUCAAUGCUCACAAGUGAUGGACAGCGCUCAUAGGUAAUUUGGCACUUUGGAGGAAUUUGUAGAUCUCUCUCAUCUUUCCUUCUCACUUCAUAAUAAGCCUUGAUCAAAAUGCAUAAUAGACAGAUUGCCAGCAUGCAUAUCCCUGUUGUACACAUGUUCAUGUCUGAUUACUUAUAGCCUUCCUUGUAUUUGUGCAUUUCAAACAAAAAAUGUUGAAAAUGUAUGUGUAAAGAAGUUGCACAAAUAAAUGUUUACCUGCUGUUCUCCUAUAUGGUAAUUUUGUUAACUGACCUUCAGUAAAUUAUUGCAACAUGAAGGCACAAUAUUUAAUAGAUUCAACAUAAAACAAUUAUGGCAACAAAGUGACAAUCACUAACAUUAAAUAGAUUUUAAGUCAUGUGAUACCAAUUAUAAGUUGAUUUGAACAAUUAAUUUAUGAAAAGAU
This 2227-nucleotide long non-coding RNA is filed under the name Sparus aurata (gilthead seabream). RNAcentral's name for it is "lncRNA (ENSSAUG00010000499.1)". Lineage: Eukaryota; Metazoa; Chordata; Actinopteri; Spariformes; Sparidae. The record is from RNAcentral.